CUUCACAAGAAGAGAUCAUCUGAGAAGAUAGAGGUAAUAGUUUGGGCUCUUCAGCCUCUACCAUCAUCUCUUGUAAACAAAAUCUGUGUGUUAGAACUUAGGAGAAGUAGAAAAAGAAAAGAGUAAAUGGCACUCCUGGCGAGCUCAAAAGAGUAAAUAAAGAGUAAACAAUCACGAUUUCACCAACUGAUCGGUUUGAA
Arabidopsis thaliana (thale cress) is the source of this 200-nucleotide long non-coding RNA. RefSeq annotates it as other RNA. NCBI's taxonomy places the organism in Eukaryota, Viridiplantae, Streptophyta, Magnoliopsida, Brassicales, Brassicaceae. The transcript has a single exon. The record is from RefSeq.